RNAcentral lists this long non-coding RNA (1994 nucleotides) under Macaca mulatta (Rhesus monkey). RNAcentral's name for it is "lncRNA (ENSMMUG00000053233.1)". The record is from RNAcentral. Lineage: Eukaryota; Metazoa; Chordata; Mammalia; Primates; Cercopithecidae.
UUUUUUUUUUUUUUUUUUUUUUGAGACUGAGUCUUGCUCUGUUGCCCAGGCUGGAGUGCAAUGGUGAGAUCUUGGUUCACUGCAACCUCUGCCUCCCAGAUUCAAGCAAUUGUCCUGCCUCAGCCUCCCAAGUAGCUGGGACUACAGGCAUGUGCCACCACACUCGGGUAAUUUUUAUGUUUUUAGUAGACACGGGGUUUCACUAUGUUGGCCAGGCUGGUCUUGAACUCCUGACCUCAGGUGAUCCACCUGCCUCAGCCUCCCAAAGUGCUGGGAUUACAGGAGUGAGCCACCACACCCAGCCAAGAUUUGGGCAGAGACCAAUAGCCAAACUUUAUCAGACACUAACAAGAUCCCUGUGGCUGCCAGUUGAGAACAGAUUACAGGGUUUGUGAAGGAAUGAGGCCUGGAGGAACAGUGAGGAGGCUGCUGCAGUAGUCCCGGCAGGAAAUGACGGGGAUUGGACCAGGGUGGGGGCGGUGAACGCAGGAGAAAUGUGGGCUGGGAACCACCAAGUGAGGCAAAAGAAGGAAAUCAUGGACUGGGAGAAAGGAGGUACCCCUUGAUCUGGAAGCACAGGUGGAGGCUCUUGGUAAUGGGGGAAGCCCUUGGGUCCUGUCUGAAGGCUCUCCUGUUUACUGGAUGAGGUGGGCACACCUGGCUCCUUGGUAGGAGUACUCAUCUAGAUUCCUGAGAAGAGGACUUGCACGUAUUGUGUUAGGACAAAUCUGGAUGUUAGAAUCAAGAUUCCCAGUUAAAAAAAAAAAAGGCCAGGCACAUGGCUCACGUUGUGAUCCUAGCACUCUGGGAGGCCAAGGCAGGUAGAUCACAAGAGGCCAGGAGUUUGAGACCGGCCUGGACAACAUGGCAAAACCCUGUCCCUACUAGAAAGGCAAAAAUUAGCCAGGCAUGGUGAUGGUGGGUGCCUGUAAUCCCAGCUACUCAGGAGGCUGAGGCAGAAGAAUUGCUUGAACCCAAGAAGCAGAGGUUGCAGUGAGUUGAGAUUGCGCCACCGCACUCCAGCCUGGGCGACAGAAUGAGAGAGAGAAGGGAGGGAGGGAGGGAGGGAGGGAGGGAGGGAGGGAGGGAGGGAGGGAGGAAGGAAGGAAGGAAGGAAGGAAGGAAGGAAGGAAGGAAGGAAGGAAGGAAAGGAAGGGAAGGAAAAUGCAAACUCUUGCCCUGCCCUAGAAUUACUGAAUCAGAAACCAGUGUUUCAACAAAACCUUCAGGGAACCUCUGUUUUACCUGCCUUAAUUUAGCUCCCUCUAUCCUCAAGCUGCCCUAUGAAAUAGGACAAUUGUUGUCUGCCCUCUACAGUUGAGGAAACUGAGGCACAGAGAAGCUAAGUAAUUCCCCAGAUCCCACAGACAGUAAGCAGCAGAACUGGCCUUUCCACCUGGUUUCAGAAUCCUACCUCUACCCUCUUACGCUAUGGCACCACUACAAUCAUGGAAAAAUAGUUCCAAUAAUAAUAUAAAAAGAACGGCUGACCUUUACUGAGUACUCUCUCAGUUCUAAGCCCUGUUCUCCCUCAAUCAAUCCUCCCAUUUACAUUUUAUGGAUGAAAGAAACCAAGGCAUGGAUGGUUAAGGAAUGUGCCCGAUGUCGUGUACCCAAAACAUGGCAUAGCUGGCAUCUGAACAUUUGUUCAUGGAUUUAACAGAUUCUCACCAACUUGGAGUCUCUAUAUCUAUGUCUCCUCCAUGUGCCUCAUGGAUUCCUGGCCCCACCCUGACUUACCCUUUUCGGGUCUCCAUCCUCCACUCCCCACAUCUCUUUUUGCCUCUAGGUUGAAGUGCUCGUGGAGGGAAUCUGUCUUGCCUUUUGCUAUAGAUUGGUGACAACUCGCACCCCCCAACACACACACUUUUUGUCCAGCUCUGACCUAACCAUCUAUGGCAAGAGGUAGGGUUAUGUGAACCCAAUGUGGCCACACUAUCAGGAAGGAUUCUUUUCUUUUCUUUUCUUUUCUUUUUUCUCUUUUCUUUUCUUUU